UGGGGAAUAUUGGACAAUGGGCGAAAGCCUGAUCCAGCCAUGCCGCGUGUGUGAAGAAGGUCUUCGGAUUGUAAAGCACUUUAAGUUGGGAGGAAGGGCAGUAAGCGAAUACCUUGCUGUUUUGACGUUACCGACAGAAUAAGCACCGGCUAACUCUGUGCCAGCAGCCGCGGUAAUACAGUGGGUGCAAGCGUUAAUCGGAAUUACUGGGCGUAAAGCGCGCGUAGGUGGUUCGUUAAGUUGAAUGUGAAAGCCCCGGGCUCAACCUGGGAACUGCAUCCGAAACUGGCGAGCUAGAGUAGGGCAGAGGGUGGUGGAAUUUCCUGUGUAGCGGUGAAAUGCGUAGAUAUAGGAAGGAACACCAGUGGCGAAGGCGACCACCUGGGCUCAUACUGACACUGAGGUGCGAAAGCGUGGGGAGCAAACAGG
This 429-nucleotide ribosomal RNA is filed under the name Pseudomonadota bacterium. RNAcentral describes it as "Proteobacteria bacterium partial 16S ribosomal RNA". It matches the Rfam family "Bacterial small subunit ribosomal RNA", at positions 355 to 776 of the family's 1533-position model. The record is from RNAcentral. Lineage: Bacteria; Pseudomonadati; Pseudomonadota.